AAUAAAGGUAUAUUCGAGAGCACCGAAUUGACCAAGGUGAGUCUAGCAAAGUAGAAGGCUAAUAUUGAAAAUGCCUUUUUUACAUUCCAACAUAUUUUUAAUAUACCUUUAGAGUUAAAAUCUGUUAAUGAGUUCUGUUAUCUCUAUGAAAUUACUAUUUUGCCCUUUCAAAUAUACUCUUCUACUAUCAUCGACUUUUCUUAUUUGCUCUUAAGUUAGAAGCACAAAAAGUAUUUUGCUUUUUGGUCUUUUCUAAUAUACCCUUCAAUCAUCACCAACAUUUCUUAUUUGCCUUUAAGUUAAAGGCAAAAGUGGUAUUUUAAUUUUUUUUAACUGUGAUAGAUAUUUAACUUAUGUUUAAAUCAAGUUAACUUAACGGGUGGUAACUGUAGAGGUAUUUUAGAAUAUCAGAGGAACAUAUGAGGGGUAUAUUGGAAAGAAAAAAAAAGGAAUCAAUAAUAUAUUUUCGAAGUUUUGAGGGAUACAUAG
This 489-nucleotide long non-coding RNA is filed under the name Ananas comosus (pineapple). Its description in RNAcentral is "long non-coding RNA (ACOM_LNC032359)". Lineage: Eukaryota; Viridiplantae; Streptophyta; Magnoliopsida; Poales; Bromeliaceae. The record is from RNAcentral.